UCGCAAAUAUAACACAAAAGAGGAAGCAAUCUAAAAUUUUUAGAGAAAUUUCCACUUAUGGAAUCAUGUCCUAAAGAUACAAUCAUAGAAGUCAAAUAGAAUGAGAUAGGAACAUCCGAGGACUCACCCUGAGGCCUUAACAAAUAACAAGUAUAAAAACCCAUCUCCCCCAUCUACCAAAAUCAUUAAUCCAUAAACAAUUUUCUUUGGCAACACAACAACUUAACCGUGCUGCGAUUUCUUGUUUCAUUCCUUCAUCUUCUUGAGAUAUUAUUUAGAAAGAAAAAACAAUGAGCAGGGAAGGAGAUUGGAUUUGCGCUUCAAGUUCAUGCCAACAUUUGAACUUUAAAAAGCGGGAUUCAUGCCAGAGAUGUGGGUGCUCCAAGUUUGGAGGAGGCAGUGAAGUGUCGUCCUACAGGACGGAAGUCUUGGCUGGGGACUGGUACUGCAAUGUCAUUAAUUGUGGAGCACACAACUACGCGAGCCGACAAAGCUGCCAUAGAUGUGGCGCAUCCAAACAUGACUAUACCGAGUAUGUUGGAAGCAUGAUGACCUCAAGCGGUUGCGUAUAUGAUGGCAGUGGCCUCCCUGGAUGGAAAAAGGGUGACUGGAUUUGCACCAUACUUGGAUGUGGUGCACACAACUAUGCUAGCAAGAUGGAGUGUUACAAAUGCAGAAUGCCAAGACAAAUUUAGUGCUCGAAUCCAUGGAGUCACAAAAGCAAACUUGAUUCAGUUCCCUUCAAAUCUUCAAUUACCAAAUUAUCUUCUUCUUUGUUUCAAUUCUUCUUCUUUUUUUCUUUCCUUUUUUUGCCCUCAAUUUAAUAAGCUUUAGAAUCAUAGUUAUGAUGUACUUGCCCAAAUAAGUGUAUUUUCCUCAAUAAAUGGUUCAAUAUCAUGCAAGGUGUUCUUACAUGAAGCUAUCAAAUGCACUUGUUAAUAAAAUGUGAAAGCAAAAUUAUACA
Camellia sinensis is the source of this 964-nucleotide long non-coding RNA. RefSeq lists it as uncharacterized. Lineage: Eukaryota; Viridiplantae; Streptophyta; Magnoliopsida; Ericales; Theaceae. The record is from RefSeq and is a predicted model, not a curated record.